RNAcentral lists this ribosomal RNA (157 nucleotides) under Chaetothyriales sp. CR07/2-1. Its description in RNAcentral is "5.8S ribosomal RNA". It matches the Rfam family "5.8S ribosomal RNA". From Rfam's summary of the family: 5.8S ribosomal RNA (5.8S rRNA) is a component of the large subunit of the eukaryotic ribosome. It is transcribed by RNA polymerase I as part of the 45S precursor that also contains 18S and 28S rRNA. Functionally, it is thought that 5.8S rRNA may be involved in ribosome translocation. RNAcentral also lists the same sequence under 8 other names. The record is from RNAcentral. Lineage: Eukaryota; Fungi; Ascomycota; Eurotiomycetes; Chaetothyriales.
AACUUUCAACAACGGAUCUCUUGGUUCUGGCAUCGAUGAAGAACGCAGCGAAAUGCGAUAAGUAAUGCGAAUUGCAGAAUUUCCGUGAGUCAUCGAAUCUUUGAACGCACAUUGCGCCCUUUGGUAUUCCGAAGGGCAUGCCUGUUCGAGCGUCAUU